GUGCCAGCCGCCGCGGUAAUACGUAGGUGGCAAGCGUUGUCCGGAAUUAUUGGGCGUAAAGCGCGCGCAGGCGGCCUUUUAAGUCCAUCUUAAAAGCGUGGGGCUCAACCCCAUGAGGGGAUGGAAACUGGGAGGCUGGAGUAUCGGAGAGGAAAGCGGAAUUCCUAGUGUAGCGGUGAAAUGCGUAGAGAUUAGGAAGAACACCAGUGGCGAAGGCGGCUUUCUGGACGACAACUGACGCUGAGGCGCGAAAGCGUGGGAGCAAACAGGAUUAGAUACCCUGGUAGUCCACGCCGUAAACGAUGGAUACUAGGUGUAGGAGGUAUCGACCCCUUCUGUGCCGGAGCUAACACAAUAAGUAUCCCGCUGGGAAGUACGGCCGCAAGGCUAAAACUCAAAGGAAUUGACGGGGCCGCACAAGCGUGGAGUAUGUGGUUUAAUCGACGCAACGCGAAG
RNAcentral lists this ribosomal RNA (456 nucleotides) under uncultured Dialister sp. RNAcentral's name for it is "bacterial SSU rRNA". It matches the Rfam family "Bacterial small subunit ribosomal RNA", at positions 505 to 966 of the family's 1533-position model. The record is from RNAcentral. Lineage: Bacteria; Bacillati; Bacillota; Negativicutes; Veillonellales; Veillonellaceae.